UAAAUUAAUCAAUAAAUGAAAAACACACAAAAACAGAACAUCGGUUUGCAGCAGCAGAGGCGGUGCGAUUUGGGGGCAAGGAAAGGCUAGGGUUUCUCACACUUCCCAUUGAUUUUUAUGAGAUUAAUUCAUCCGUAAUUCAAGCUGAGUUAUGUGUGUAAUUAUAUGUAUGUGUAUAUAUAUACGAUUGUUGUCGGUUGUGUCUGAUGAGUUCGAGUUAUCGGCGGCGACGCCGUUGUCGGUGAGAGACGGAGGGAUUGUAGGUGGUGGUGAUUUAGUCGAGCGGUGGCUGAGUUGCGUGUGUAUGUAUUGUAUACUGUGAUUUGGGUGUCGAUGGUGUGUGUGCGUUUUGAUUGGUGUUUGUAUACGGAGUUGGAGCUGUGGGGUUGAUUGGCAAUUGGAGGCGGCACGGCGGUUGCUGCCGCUGGAUUUGGCAUGUCGCUGUUGGGAUGUGAUGUAAUUUCUACAGAUCAAACUGAGGUUUUGCCCUUGCUAAUGAGAAAUGUUGAGCCCAACACUUUCCGGAUUAUGCAAAAAAAUCCGGAUACAGUUCCUGUAGGUUCUAUCAACGUUGCAGAGCUGGACUGGGGAAAUUAAGAUCAUAUAAAGGCCAUUGAUCAAUCAUUUGACUUCAUAUUGGCACUGAUGUUGUUUGAUAGCUGAGGUACUUGUGCAUUUAGCAGAGAUGGCUGUCAAGGAUUAUAUGAUCACGAAGAAAAAGAGCACAUUUGUGGACGUCCAUUGGGCUCACGGUUUAAUGAAAGAAUAGAAGAUCUCUAUAUUGCAGAUGCUUACAUGGAAACGUUCUGUUCUAUUUUGCUAAGGUUUUGGACAUUGACCAGGGUAAUGGAAUAGUUUAUUUCACAGAGAGCAGCUUCAAUUACCAGUGCUGGUAUACGCUAUACCAAAAUUUCUUUUUCCUCCUCUAACUGGACAGAAUUAAUACUCAUGUAAGGCUGAAAUUUUCUUCAAGGACCACAACGCGGUCAUUUAUCUCACAGUUUGUAUACUUCUAUGGCACAGCUUCUUUAAGAGGUUGUACCUGGAGAAAAUUGGUUUUAAAUCUGUUGGAACUAAAGCUAUUUUGAUUGUUGUUCCUACUGCUGGAGCUUGUCCUGUCAUUAUAACCGAGGUUUAUAUUAUUAAAUGAAAAGCAGGUGUGUUGAAUUGGUACGACAUCAAAUGGCGGGGACUUGUAUUGAUAUAACUCUUAUCUUGCCAGCUCAGAUGCCCUUCAAAUAGCUGAAAAUGCUGAUCCAAAUGGUACCUAUUCAUAUUCUUGAAAUUUGUGGCUUCCGUUAUUUCGACCAUUGAAUAUGAUUAUACCGUGGACUUCGAUCUUGCUAGCUCCAGUACUUGAUGUGAAGGUGGACUUGGGUGUAUAUGUAAUGCAAAUUAAUUAUAUGUUAUACCUACUUCUAUACGUAGUCUUUGUCAUUGAACUUGCCAUUCCGUGCGAGAAACAAGAACUGCGGGUGUUUGAGGCUUCACAGUUGGUUUGCAUCCACGGUCUUCAGAACUUGUACACAGAUAUAUAUCCUUGCUAACUACUAAAGUUACAACUUAUGUAUUUGGUUAUUAAAAUUAUAGUUGCUACUUGUUAACAAUGUAGCUUUACAGUGUGGACUGUGGACUGCAGGUACAAAGGUACAACGUACAAAGCAGUAGACAUCAGACUAGACUAAGGUGACCUUGCACAUCUAUCUUGCGAAGCCAGAAAGUAUUCAUUUUAGUUGAAAUAUUACAGCUAGUCUAGUCUGAUGUAUCAAAUAUAUCAGUUGAAGUUUUCAUGUAUUGAAAUAUUACGCUAGAUGCAUAUUCUUAUGUAUUAAACUUUCAUAAUACUUUUGUAUUUUUUUUUAUUAAUGAGAUCAAAUUUAUGGUC
Long non-coding RNA from Daucus carota subsp. sativus, 1885 nucleotides. RefSeq lists it as uncharacterized. Lineage: Eukaryota; Viridiplantae; Streptophyta; Magnoliopsida; Apiales; Apiaceae. The transcript has 6 exons. The record is from RefSeq and is a predicted model, not a curated record.